AUGCUAAUUAACCCCUUUGCUUCUUCCUCCUCUCCGGUCGCCCGCCGGCAGGAACUAGCCCAGCGCGCCGUCGGCAGCCACCGUACAGCCCAGCGCGCUGCCGCCCACCUCCGUCGCCGUUGCACCGCCGCCCACCUGCGCUGCCGCUGCCAAUCUGUGGCGCCCCUGCCCACCUACGCCGCCCACACAGAGGCGAGCUGGGCUGCCACCCGCACGGAGGCGACUGCUCCUCCGCGGCGACCAACUGGACGCGCGCCUCCUCCACGGCUGACGGCACUUCCCUCGUCACCCUGCUCGCGUCCCCAGCCGGUGCGGCCCGCGCCCUCACCCUCUGCUCGCUUCCUCGCGCCCGUGGCCGCCGGUGCGGGAUUUGGGCAAGUCCCCGACCGUCGCUUCCUUCUGCGCCGCCGCCAUCCCCUCCAGCCUCUGAUGCUGCUGCUGCUGGACGACGCCGACGCCCCCCUGAUCAAGUUCUCGACGUCUGAUGCUGUUGCUCCUCCUCGUCGUCUGAGUCCUCUGCCCCGCCUCUGCUGUUGA
RNAcentral lists this ribosomal RNA (537 nucleotides) under Triticum aestivum (bread wheat). RNAcentral's name for it is "partial small subunit ribosomal RNA". The record is from RNAcentral. Lineage: Eukaryota; Viridiplantae; Streptophyta; Magnoliopsida; Poales; Poaceae.